CGACCGGCGCACGGGUGCGUAACGCGUAUGCAACCUACCUUUAACAGGGGGAUAACACUGAGAAAUUGGUACUAAUACCCCAUAAUAUCAUAGAAGGCAUCCUUUAUGGUUGAAAAUUCCGAUGGUUAGAGAUGGGCAUGCGUUGUAUUAGCUAGUUGGUGGGGUAACGGCUCACCAAGGCGACGAUACAUAGGGGGACUGAGAGGUUAACCCCCCACACUGGUACUGAGACACGGACCAG
This 241-nucleotide ribosomal RNA is filed under the name uncultured bacterium. RNAcentral describes it as "partial 16S ribosomal RNA". It matches the Rfam family "Bacterial small subunit ribosomal RNA", at positions 92 to 334 of the family's 1533-position model. The record is from RNAcentral.